Mercenaria mercenaria is the source of this 760-nucleotide long non-coding RNA. RefSeq lists it as uncharacterized. The record is from RefSeq and is a predicted model, not a curated record. The transcript has 4 exons. NCBI's taxonomy places the organism in Eukaryota, Metazoa, Mollusca, Bivalvia, Venerida, Veneridae.
GGCUAUUAUAGCGAAGGAAAGUUGUAUUGGAAUGUACAUUUAGUCCGUCUAUCUCUCUCAAGCAAUGCCAGUGCGGCGACAGUGUAGAAGCCAAAAUUGACAUUAUCAGAUAUUGUAGCUUUUCUUUUCGCAUGGUUUGAGUCGUUACCGUAUGUGAUUGGGUUCUCUUAUAAAAAGUCUUUAUUCAGAAGAAGAAAAAUAGGGUUAUUGGAUUAGUUAGGAUAUAUGUUGAAUGAAUAAUGUCGGAAAUGUAAUGGUGUUUGUCUCAGGAAUGUAAAAGUAAGGAGAAUAGGAAAUGUGAGGAGUGUCUGCAUAGUACAGAGAUAUACAUCAUAGUUUGAAUGAAAAUAUUUUAAUAUAAUUGAGAUUAGACUGUCUAUCAGAACCAUUUUUCUGACUUUUUCACAUAUUUCUGGAAGACUGGCUACGAUUUCCCGGGGCGUUCUAGGAAUGGAGAAGGAAGACUUGAAGCGACAGGUAGAGAUGCUGCGGAUACAUAAAGAUUUACAGAGAAUGUUUGUCUCUGACGCUGUUAAAGAUAUGAUUUGCUUCAUCGACCAAAACAUUAAUGAAGAUGGUCUAGUAAUACCUCCAGAUAAGAAGAAGAAUCCUUGGGAUAAUUCAAGAAAGUGUUCAAUAUUGUAAAUUAAACAGUCAUGCAAUUUCAACAUUUUAUUAGCUGGUUAAUAUUAUGUGUAUUGAUAUUAUCAACAUACAUCUAUUAUUAGAGGUAUCACAUACGUUUUUAUACUAGUAAUGU